UACGUAGGAGGCAAGCGUUGUCCGGAAUUACUGGGCGUAAAGCGCGUGUAGGUGGUGGGACAAGUCUGCUGUGAAAGCGCCUGGCUUAACCGGGCGAGGUCGGCGGAAACUGUCCGACUCGAGGACGGUAGAGGGGGGUGGAAUUCCCGGUGUAGUGGUGAAAUGCGUAGAGAUCGGGAGGAACACCUGUGGCGAAGGCGGCCGACUGGGCCGACCCUGACGCUGAGGCGCGAAGGCGUGGGGAGCGAACGGG
Molecule: ribosomal RNA, 253 nt
Filed under: uncultured bacterium
Lineage: Bacteria
Description: partial 16S ribosomal RNA
Rfam family: Bacterial small subunit ribosomal RNA
Source: RNAcentral